AAACGUAGGGGGCGAGCGUUGUCAGGAAUUACUGGGCGUAAAGGGCGCGUAGGCGGUUUCUUAAGUCUCGAGGUGAAAUCUAUCGGCUUAACCGGUAGCCUGCCUGAGAAACUGGGAGACUUGAGGGCAGGAGAGGGGAGUGGAAUUCCCAGUGUAGCGGUGAAAUGCGUAGAUAUUGGGAGGAACACCGGUGGCGAAGGCGGCUCUCUGGCCUGUUACUGACGCUGAGGCGCGAAAGCGUGGGGAGCGAACGGGAUUAGAUACCCCGGUAGUCCACGCCGUAAACGAUGGGUGCUAGGUGUAGGAGGUAUCGACCCCUUCUGUGCCGUAGUUAACACAAUAAGCACCCCGCCUGGGGAGUACGGCCGCAAGGUUGAA
RNAcentral lists this ribosomal RNA (378 nucleotides) under uncultured bacterium. Its description in RNAcentral is "bacterial SSU rRNA". It matches the Rfam family "Bacterial small subunit ribosomal RNA", at positions 523 to 898 of the family's 1533-position model. The record is from RNAcentral.